GCAGUGUAGUAUAAUGGUCAGGGAACUGGGCUUGUAACCCAAAGGUUACAGGAUUGAUUCCUGUAGUGCC
RNAcentral lists this transfer RNA (70 nucleotides) under Anguilla anguilla (European eel). RNAcentral describes it as "tRNA-OTHER". Lineage: Eukaryota; Metazoa; Chordata; Actinopteri; Anguilliformes; Anguillidae. The record is from RNAcentral.